AUUGAACGCUGGCGGCAUGCCUUACACAUGCAAGUCGAACGCGAAAGGGGGGCAACUCCUGAGUAGAGUGGCGCACGGGUGAGUAAUGCAUCGGAACGUGUCCUGUAGCGGGGGAUAACCUAGCGAAAGCUAGGCUAAUACCGCAUACGUCCUACGGGAGAAAGUGGGGGAUCGUAAGACCUCACACUAUAGGAGCGGCCGGUGCCGGAUUAGCUAGUUGGUGGGGUAAAAGCCUACCAAGGCGACGAUCCGUAGCUGGUCUGAGAGGAUGAUCAGCCACACUGGGACUGAGACACGGCCCAGACUCCUACGGGAGGCAGCAGUGGGGAAUUUUGGACAAUGGGGGAAACCCUGAUCCAGCCAUGCCGCGUGAGUGAAGAAGGCCUUCGGGUUGUAAAGCUCUUUCGGCCGGGACGAAAUCGCACGCGUGAAUAUCGCGUGUGGAUGACGGUACUGGAAGAAGAAGGACCGGCUAACUACGUGCCAGCCGCCGCCGUAA
Molecule: ribosomal RNA, 499 nt
Filed under: uncultured bacterium
Lineage: Bacteria
Description: partial 16S ribosomal RNA
Rfam family: Bacterial small subunit ribosomal RNA
Source: RNAcentral